CUUUCUACACUGAAUGGCAGUGGAACUCUGAGAUUCAGUGGAACCUGGAAGUUUGUUCCCACUGGGUGGCCAAUGCUACAUCAAACUGGACUUCAUUCUUGUCAAAAUGUGAGAUGGAGUCUCCCUGUGUUGCCCAGUCUGGUCUUGAGAGCUUCAGUUUUAAAUAAUAAAUUGUUCUCGUCUUUCUAAAUUUCAAUCAAAACACAGGAUGUAUUUUAAAAGGGAAAAACUGUGAGGUAAAAGAAUAGGGUGAGGGGAGGAAAGAAAUAACUUCAUAGAGAAAAAUUCAAUGAACCCUUGGAAGAAAAUAUAUGGAAGUAUGGUUACUGACUUGGGAAAGAAGAGAAAGGUACAAUGUAACUGCACAUAGAAGCCAGUCCUGAAAAGAAGCAAGCCGGCUGAAGUUAUCUGCAACUCAGAAGCACUUGGUACCACCCAAGGGGAGAUAAGAGGAGAUCUCAUCAGAGGUGCCUGAAAAGCACCUCAGCCGAAGGCCUCACAUAGAGAGACCUAAGAAUGAAGGCACCUGGACUAGGAAUGUGAAUAUGUGAAAGAACAUGACCGGCCAGGGGCCCUGAGUUAUUGAAUGCAACCCCCUUCAGACACUGCAACACACAGGCUGUGCACCAAGCCUAGUAUGGGAAGGACAGCUUUUCUUCAUGAGGCCUGCCAGGUAAAGCCAGCUAUGAAACAGGAAGUUGACCUUCACCAGACACUGAACCUACUGGCACCUUGAUCUUGGACUUCCCAGCCUUACAAACUGUAAGAAAUAAAUGUCUGUUGUUCAUAA
Molecule: long non-coding RNA, 790 nt
Organism: Homo sapiens (human)
Lineage: Eukaryota; Metazoa; Chordata; Mammalia; Primates; Hominidae
Product: long intergenic non-protein coding RNA 2345
Source: Ensembl